GAGUGAACGCUGGCGGUAGGCCUAACACAUGCAAGUCGAACGGCAGCCCAGUAAGAGCUUGCUCUUACGGGUGGCGAGUGGCGGACGGGUGAGGAAUACAUCGGAAUCUACUUUUUCGUGGGGGAUAACGUAGGGAAACUUACGCUAAUACCGCAUACGACCUACGGGUGAAAGCAGGGGAUCUUCGUACCUUGCGCGAUUGAAUGAUCCGAUGUCGGAUUAGCUAGUUGGCGGGGUAAAGGCCCACCAAGGCGACGAUCCGUAGCUGGUCUGAGAGGAUGAUCAGCCACACUGGAACUGAGACACGGUCCAGACUCCUACGGGAGGCAGCAGUGGGGAAUAUUGGACAAUGGGCGCAAGCCUGAUCCAGCCAUACCGCGUGGGUGAAGAAGGCCUUCGGGUUGUAAAGCCCUUUUGUUGGGAAAGAAAAGCAGCAGGUUAAUACCCCGCUGUUCUGACGGUACCCAAAGAAUAAGCACCGGCUAACUUCGUG
RNAcentral lists this ribosomal RNA (493 nucleotides) under uncultured bacterium. Its description in RNAcentral is "partial 16S ribosomal RNA". It matches the Rfam family "Bacterial small subunit ribosomal RNA", at positions 27 to 507 of the family's 1533-position model. The record is from RNAcentral.